This 483-nucleotide ribosomal RNA is filed under the name uncultured bacterium. RNAcentral describes it as "partial 16S ribosomal RNA". It matches the Rfam family "Bacterial small subunit ribosomal RNA", at positions 30 to 506 of the family's 1533-position model. The record is from RNAcentral.
AUUGAACGCUGGCGGCAGGCCUAACACAUGCAAGUCGAGCGGAUGAAGGGAGCUUGCUCCUGGAUUCAGCGGCGGACGGGUGAGUAAUGCCUAGGAAUCUGCCUGGUAGUGGGGGAUAACGUCCGGAAACGGGCGCUAAUACCGCAUACGUCCUGAGGGAGAAAGUGGGGGAUCUUCGGACCUCACGCUAUCAGAUGAGCCUAGGUCGGAUUAGCUAGUUGGUGGGGUAAAGGCCUACCAAGGCGACGAUCCGUAACUGGUCUGAGAGGAUGAUCAGUCACACUGGAACUGAGACACGGUCCAGACUCCGACGGGAGGCAGCAGGGGGGAAUAUUGGACAAGGGGCGAAAGCCUGAUCCAGCCAUGCCGCGUGUGUGAAGAAGGUCUUCGGAUUGUAAAGCACUUUAAGUUGGGAGGAAGGGAAGUAAGUUAAUACCUGGCUGUUUUGACGUUACCAACAGAAUAGGCACCGGCUAACUUCGG